UUGAAAGGGAAACGAUUGAAGUCAGUCGUACCUGCGGACAAUCAGCUUUUUGAGUGUGAUUAUGUGGAUUGUGAGGAGUUUAAUCACCCUCAUGUUUUACGUAUUCGUGCUCUUGGGUGUACUUGCCCGUGUGGUAGGUUAACAUCAAUUUUGGUCGUCAUAAAAUGACUGGAGGAAUGUAGCUUUGGUCUCGUAUCGAAGUGUUAUAGACUCUGGUAGAUGUGACGAUUGGGAUUGAGGAUUGCAACGGAUACCCUUCGGGGCUACUCGUCUGAUCUCUGAAGGUUGCUCCGGUGCCGAAAGCGUGCUUACGGUCAUCGAAAGUGAUUUUCAAAAGGUUAGAACGGGUUAAAUUCGUUAAGGAUGUUGACGU
Molecule: ribosomal RNA, 373 nt
Filed under: uncultured Glomeromycotina
Lineage: Eukaryota; Fungi; Glomeromycota
Description: LSU rRNA
Source: RNAcentral